This 425-nucleotide ribosomal RNA is filed under the name uncultured Sphaerobacter sp. RNAcentral describes it as "bacterial SSU rRNA". It matches the Rfam family "Bacterial small subunit ribosomal RNA", at positions 355 to 795 of the family's 1533-position model. Lineage: Bacteria; Pseudomonadati; Thermomicrobiota; Thermomicrobia; Sphaerobacterales; Sphaerobacteraceae. The record is from RNAcentral.
UGGGGAUUUUUCCGCAAUGGGCGCAAGCCUGACGGAGCAACGCCGCGUGCGGGAUGACGCUUUUCGGAGUGUAAACCGCUGUUCGGGGGGACGAAGCACUGACGGUACCCCCGGAGGAAGGCCCGGCUAACUACGUGCCAGCAGCCGCGGUAAUACGUAGGGGUCGAGCGUUGUCCGGAGUUACUGGGCGUAAAGCGUGCGCAGGCGGCGCAUCGCGCCCGACGUGAAAGCCCCCGGCUCAACCGGGGAGGGUCGUCGGGGACGGGUGCGCUUGAGGGUAUCAGGGGCUGGUGGAAUUCCCGGUGUAGUGGUGAAAUGCGUAGAGAUCGGGAGGAACACCCGUGGCGAAGGCGGCCAGCUGGGAUACACCUGACGCUGAGGCACGAAGGCGUGGGGAGCGAAAGGGAUUAGAUACCCCUGUAGUC